UACGUAGGGCGCAAGCGUUGUCCGGAAUUAUUGGGCGUAAAGAGCUCGUAGGCGGUUUGUCGCGUCUGCUGUGAAAACCUAAGGCUCAACCUUGGGCUUGCAGUGGGUACGGGGCAGACUAGAGUGCGGUAGGGGUGACUGGAAUUCCUGGUGUAGCGGUGGAAUGCGCAGAUAUCAGGAGGAACACCGAUGGCGAAGGCAGCCCCCUGGGCUGACACUGACGCUCGAGGCA
Molecule: ribosomal RNA, 232 nt
Filed under: uncultured bacterium
Lineage: Bacteria
Description: partial 16S ribosomal RNA
Rfam family: Bacterial small subunit ribosomal RNA
Source: RNAcentral